Long non-coding RNA from Ceratina calcarata, 1639 nucleotides. RefSeq lists it as uncharacterized. The transcript is spliced from 2 exons. The record is from RefSeq and is a predicted model, not a curated record. NCBI's taxonomy places the organism in Eukaryota, Metazoa, Arthropoda, Insecta, Hymenoptera, Apidae.
UUUAAUUACAAUCGAUAUUAAACAUUCCGCAGUGCAGUAAUUACGUAUAACUUCUACAUUUCCAGGCUUCGAAAUUUACAUCGAACCUUGAAUAAAUGAGUUGACGUAAUUGGCUACGAUCAAGAUGAAUAAACAUGAGCAGUGAUAAUUUUAUGACACGCAAUAUGAGAAAGCUUUACGUACACGACUUUUAGAACAAAAAGUUUUCGUUCGAGCAUACGUAUAUAUACGUGCAAAUUUCCGGAAUAUUGCGUGUACCAGACACGUAUAUCCACUUUAAGCAACGCUGGUGAAUGACCCAAAAACAGCUGACGUCGCCAUUGAAUCGAUAAAACUUAUUGAAUUAUACAGCAAUUCGCGACUUGACAUUCUUCAGCUAAGGAACGAGAAGAUAAAAAUCCAAUGUAUUCUCGGAAUGCUACAGCCAAAGCAAACAAAGAAAUGUAAAACGGUGGCGACAACGCAAUGGUCUCAGUAGCCGUGUUCCUUUCCAGAGAUAAUAAUCAAUCAGCGGACGCAAAUUCGUAACGAGAAACCUAGGUUGCAACACCAGCCCCUAUGACGUUUGCAAAUAUUGACUUUUUUAUAUAUGUUCAACUGCGUGGAGGUGCGCGAUGGAAAUAUGAUUCCAUAACUUUCUCCCGAAGUAUGCCUGAACGUACUUUUUCUUGAAUUACCGGAAUCUAUACAUUAAUAUUCAUAGUGUAUACUGCAAACCACGUUCACUUUUCUAUGGCCAAUCUACCGAUCGACUGUUUUGACCGUGAUCGUAAUAUUUAACAUAGUCAGAUAAAGUCGGAUGACGCUGUCUGAAUAAAAUUAAUGCCCCAGCCACCGUUCAAUUAUCGUGCAGUUUAAUUGAUUUCGUUGAAUUAUAUAGCUCGAUUUCAAUAAUGAAAAAUUGCAAUUAAAUUUUCUACUUGCCAAAUAUAGAAAUACUAGUUGUUCGACAUCUUAAUAAAAUUUCAAAUACAUCGUCAAUAGAUCGUACAUUAUUAUAUGUAUGCAGAUUUAAUUAACUACCAAGAGUAAUCAGUCACCUUUUUUAAUAUUCCUGAUUAUAUGGUACAACAGUGGGAUCAAUCAACUUUUGCGAACAUGACCAGAGUUCACUUGUUGCAUGAAAUAAAAGAAUAAUUUUCCUACAAUUUAUCGAGCUUGGUAAUAGUUGACUUAUGACAGGAUAUUAAUUCCUCGAUCUUUGUUUAGUUGAUAAUCAAAGGGUUGAUACCUUCGAUAACGUUAUUAAGCAUUAGCAAGCAUGAGAUCAUCGAUAUCAUAUAAAUAACGACAUAUUUUCGUUGAAGCUUAUCAAGCUAUUCUUGUCCAUUCGGUCAGACGAGUAUGUACAUAUCUGCACUCGAAGAUGUAAAUUUACUUUUAUACGGAAAGAAUUUUACUUGUUAUUAAUAAAUAAACGAAUGAUCAGUUUCAGGUCAGCGUAAAGAAUUAAGAAUAUGUAGAUACAAAAAAUGAACAAACAGCUCUUGUGCACGCAGUUGUAGAAUGAUACUUGCAAGAUAGGCUUAAUCGGUUGUUGACUAUGUGCACGUGUAUUUGUAAUUCUACAUUUUUCUAUGUUUGGUCAAUGUUUCUUUAUAGACCCACGUUUAAUUAAAAUCAUCUACAUUCAUGUUGA